Molecule: long non-coding RNA, 1905 nt
Filed under: Linum usitatissimum (flax)
Lineage: Eukaryota; Viridiplantae; Streptophyta; Magnoliopsida; Malpighiales; Linaceae
Description: long non-coding RNA (LUSI_LNC004574)
Source: RNAcentral
AUCAUGAUUAUAAUAUCAUACUUAUCCUUUUCAUUAUUGCUUCUUCCGCCCUAGUUGUUUUAUUUGCCUCCGUUCUCCUUCUGCCGUUCGUCUUUUCUCCAGAUCUGUUCUCCAUGGUCGCUCAACGUCGCGCGUGGAUGAUACAAUCAUGUAGGUCAGGCGACGAUCUACGCGACGAUGUACUUAUCAAGGGCGGAGGCGUUCUUAGCCGUCGUUCCGGCUUAAUAUUCACAUGUGGCUGGCGUAGCAUAGAUAUGUCCACAGGUUUCGAUCUAAUCUUCUUGUUCUUGAUUAUAUCUACACUUGUUGGUUACAUGACUUCUGUUUCUGUCGUUCCAGACGAUUUGUGGUUACAUGGCGUGUUAUUGCCCUGCUGGUGCGAUCGGAAAGGCGACGAUUUUUGAUUACAGGUCCUGCUAUCGACCAGCUGCUGCGAUCGGAAAGGUGUUUUUUGUGUAUUUAUGCGAUUCUUAUAGUUCGUGUAUUGAAGAGCCGUUGUAAUUUUUGUUGUGUGUAUGAUAUCAUAGAUCUAGCCAUAUCUUCGGAUCUGAAGAUGAGCUAGCCCUCUAGUCAAAGAUCAGGUAUGUCGAGGCGUUCUCUGCCGCUGGAGCCAAGUAUGAUGCGUAGUGACGGGAGCUGGAUAUCGUCGAUUGUGGGUGUAUAAGAUAUGAGGGGGAUGAUGGCGCUGUGUUCGGUGGCCUGGUGUCCUUGUUAGUAUCUUUGUCAUCCGACCUUUGCCAUAUAGGGUGCGCUCGUAUGGCAGGUCACCAAUGAAUAAAAAAACAACCGUUUGUGUUUCAGAGGGAAGAUCGCACGGGGGAUUUGCCCGGGUUCUUUCCUCUGCUGUGUCUCGUGUUCCUUCUCUUCAUUACGCCUAUGCUCCAAACCCAAUCGAUUGGAGGAUGAUACUUCCUCCUACCCAGCUCUAAUUGCCAGGCUUUCAAGGCGCAUGACAAUAAAGGUAACAUCUCAUCCGUUUUAAUACUUCUGUUGGAGACUCUGAGGGACCAGCCAUCUUCCAUUCUGCCAGGUAACCUCGUUAUUUGUCAACUUUGCGCUAUCAGUAUCCAUAUUCCCGAUUCUGUCGUGUAUUUCUCAACCCAAUUACUUCAAAAUGAACACCAAGAAUGUCUUUUCCCUCGGCUGUUAUGACUAACCUGUCGAUCAAGAGCAUCAUAUCCAUAUAUGAAAUCUACCUUUUCUAUUGCGUCUAAUAAGGGCUAAAUGUUCGUAUAUUAUAUUGAACAUUGGAUUAUUUAAUUUCCUUCUGUAUUAUAUAUUGUAUACUUUUUGUAGUUGGUUCGUAGUGUGUAUAUGGUUAGUAGCUUGAUCUCACUUUCUUUGUUUCCAGUCUAUCAGCUCAGUUGCUAGUUAUUAUUGGGGUGAUUUGUUCGUGUUUUUGUGUUGGUACUAAUAUGUCCGGUUCUGUAAUGUUCAUAAUUGUACCUGUGGAAUGAUAUGCAUGGCUUGUGGCGUUUGCUGUAAUGUCGUCGUGUAUUCUGCUUACAAGUUCAGAUUGUUUGCUGUAAUAUUGCGAGUGUAUUCUGCAUCCAAGUUCAGAGAUUGGCGUUGAUGCGCUGGACGACUGUGAUCUUCAAGCUCGGUUAUCUCAUGACAUGGACCAGAGGGAGAUUCUACAAUUUAUUAUUUCUGAUCGUAGUGUUCGGUUUUUGUUUGAAUUAUGAAGCACAGUUGUUUAUUUACGAUUACUCGUGUUUGUGCAUAUACGUUGUGACUGUUUAAAAGCUCCGAUAAUGUGUUUUUUUUUUCUAAAUGGUCAAAUGAUUUCAUGUAUUCGAUCACUGUUUGGAGUGCUUGUUAACUAUGCUAAUGUAAUAGUUAAAUUUUAUUUUUGUUAAAGGGAUAUCUUCGCAAACUAUCAGUUUUUGUGUGGAAUGCUUAUAU